RNAcentral lists this ribosomal RNA (253 nucleotides) under uncultured bacterium. RNAcentral's name for it is "partial 16S ribosomal RNA". It matches the Rfam family "Bacterial small subunit ribosomal RNA", at positions 524 to 776 of the family's 1533-position model. The record is from RNAcentral.
UACGAAGGGGGCUAGCGUUGCUCGGAAUCACUGGGCGUAAAGCGCACGUAGGCGGCUUGUUAAGUCAGGGGUGAAAUCCUGGAGCUCAACUCCAGAACUGCCUUUGAUACUGGCGAGCUUGAGUCCGGGAGAGGUGAGUGGAACUGCGAGUGUAGAGGUGAAAUUCGUAGAUAUUCGCAAGAACACCAGUGGCGAAGGCGGCUCACUGAACAGGUCCUGACACUGAGACGCGAAAGCGUGGGUAGCAAACAGG